GGGAUUUUCUUAAUCUCUCCCUCUGCCUCCUUAAGAGGCUAGGGAAUGGGAUUUCUAAGUAGAUCAGAACUGACAGGAGUCAAUGAGUCAGAGCUGAAGAUUGUUACCGGGGAGACUGGGACUGAGGGGAGGAAGUGGCCAGCCCUCUGACAGGAAGUUAGGGCGGACAGUUGGUGAGUGAGAGGAGAAAGGAAGCAGCUGCUGAUAGUUGGGGGUCUUUUGUCUUUGGGAUCUCUAGAGAGCAGGAGAAUCAGAGACAGUGAGAGUUGGAGAGGACAUACAUAGCCAUCUAGUCCAACCCAUCCAUGAAAGGAAUCUCUGCUAUAACAUACUUGACAAGUAAUCAUCCAGUCUCUACUUGAAGGACUCUAAGGGAAGGAAGCUCCCUGCCUCUUGAAUCAGCCCAUCCUACCUGAGGUGGAAGGAAGAGGACAUGGCACUGAAGGAAACAGAUAAGGGAGAGUGGAUUGCCUGUAGAUGAAGAAGUCCAUUCCACAAAAGCCCAAUUUUUAAGGCAUUGAAGGAUUGAUUCUCAAUAAAUUUGGAAGAUUGAGAAAUUCCAAAUUAUUGGUCAAAUAGAGACUUUACUAUAAAAAAGAUCAAGAAAGCAUAAUUACCGACUAACAGGUAAAUGUAAUCCUGCUUCUAACCACAGUUUUAGUCUCAUAAUUGGCUCUCAAAUGAAGAGAACACAAGAUCCUACUGUGCUGAUUGUUUGCUGACUUAAAAAAGCAUUUGAUUAACUAAAAGAAAAUGUUGCCUAAAGAACUGCAAAUUGAAGGGAUGUCCAUCAAUUGGGGUAUGGUUAAAGAAUUUAUAUAUGAUUGUAUUGUGUAGUGCAUUGUGCUGUAAGAAAUGAUAAACAAAAUAAUUUCAGAAAAACCUGGAAAGACUUGCAUGCUCUGAUGUAAAGUGAAAUGAAUAGGACCAGGAGGAGAACAUUGUACAAAGGAAUAGUUAUCUUGUACAAUGAACCACUGUGAAUGACUUAGUUAUCCUCAGCAAUACAAUGAUCCCAGACAAUCCCAAAGGACUCAUAAUGAAAAACUUCAUCCAUCUUUAGAGGAAAAAGAAACCCAAUGGAAUCUGAUUGCAGACUGAAACAUACUAUAUUUCACUUUUUUUCUUCAUUUUUUGGGUUCAAGAUCUCUUCCACAAAAUGAUUAAUAUGGAAAAUGUUUUAUAUUUUACAUUACAUUGCAUGAUUAUACUUUAAAAUCUAUAUAUUAUUGCUUACUGUUUUAGAGAGAGUAAAGGAAGGAGGAAAGGAGAGAAUUUGGAACUCAAAAUAAAAAAAAAUACCCAAAUGUUAACAAUUGUUUUUGCAUGUCAUUGAGGAAAAUGAAUUAUUAUUAAAAUAUAAAAAAAAGUAAAUGGCAAGAAGAAAAAAAAGGGAAAAAAUACUGCCCAGAGGGCUAUACUCCAAAAAGGUGUCUCCUAUGUUUGUCAAAAUCCUGAAACACUUUUUAAAAGCUAUAACAACAGAGAUAAUGUUAUUCAAUGUUCAUUUGAUUAUCAGGGUCAAGUGAAGGAGAAAAGAGGAAGCUGUAGAGGUCUGACAUUGUCAUGGAGUUUAUGUAGCAUGGGGUAGUUCAUUUGGAAAAGGGAUUCCUUUUGGAUGAAGAAUUUUCCAGAUGCUUCUGUUUAUAGGAAACAUUGUCCUGAUUGCACCAAGCUCUGGAACACAGCAAAACCUCCAAAAUGAGGCCCAUAAUUGAAUCAGAUUAAUGCUGACCUGUGGUGUUAGUGGGAAAGCACCAACUAAUAAUAAUAAUAGUAAUAAAGAUAAAAUAUAAGAGUAAUUAUGAUGAUGAUAAAGAUGAAAAGUAUUUGGCCUACAUAUCCACAGAGAAAAGACCAAGAGUAGAAAAAGUAGUUAUUGCCCAGAUCUUGAUAUAUGGUUUUAUGGGUGGCCCAUAGAGCUCAUUUAUCAGCAUAUAUGUCUGGGUCAGUCAUUGCACAUGGUCAACGAACUGGGCAGAGAACUGAAUAGGAAGAAUUGAGCAGGCUGAAUAGCCUUUUGGAAAUCGUAUAGUACUUUGAAUGACUUCAAUAUUCUCCAUAAAACAAAUACGUCUCUUUUUAAUAGCAGAAAUUUUCUAGGGUGGCUGUAUGGCCACAAAGGAUGAAAUAUUAAAGCCAUCAAAGACCAUUGUGAUUGUGUGUGUGUGUGUGUGUGUGUAUGUAGGGAUAUGUGGAUAGAACGUGAUGCAAUGAUAUUUCUUUCUCUGUUCAGGUAAGCAGGUAGAGGCCAGGAAGGAAUGGCAUCUUUCUCCAUCUCGUGCAAUCAGGAGGAAACUAGGCAAAGAGACCUGCAGGUGAUGGAAUGUUUUCUUUCUGACUUCCAUGGCAGGAAGUAGAAGAGGAUAGUCUACGAGAUAUAUGAGUCUUAGAAGCAGUUGUAUUGCACUGACUUGAGUACUAAUCCAAUCUCCAGAGUCCAAUUUGUCAGAUUUUAAGGGCUUUUUCCAGGUCUUUGUAUUUAUUAUAACAGUUUCAGGAAGUCUCACCACAGAAGAGUCCAUUUUACAUCCUCUAUUCAACCAGUCUGGACCCCAGCUUUCUCCUCCUUGUUUACUCCCUCCCCACCAAUGGCAGAGAU
Non-coding RNA from Monodelphis domestica (gray short-tailed opossum), 2602 nucleotides. The record is from RefSeq and is a predicted model, not a curated record. NCBI's taxonomy places the organism in Eukaryota, Metazoa, Chordata, Mammalia, Didelphimorphia, Didelphidae.